This 210-nucleotide unclassified non-coding RNA is filed under the name Hevea brasiliensis (rubber tree). Lineage: Eukaryota; Viridiplantae; Streptophyta; Magnoliopsida; Malpighiales; Euphorbiaceae. The record is from RNAcentral.
GAUGUUGGUAUCAGGGUUAAGAGAUUUGAGCUUUGCCCGGAGAGUAUGAGAGAGUAUAUUCCGUGUUUGGAUAAUGUGGAGGCGAUUAAGAGGUUGAAUUCGACGGAGAGAGGUGAAAAGUAUGAACGGCAUUGCCCGGAGGAAGGGAAAGGAUUGAAUUGUUUGGUCCCGCAGCCGAAAGGCUACCGACAGCCAAUUCCGUGGCCGAGG